UCUAGAACCGAUAACCCCCGUUCAACCUCACCACCUCUUGUUUUACCCGCCUAUAUACCACCGUCGUCAGCUUACCCUGUGAAGGCCCUAUAGUAAGCAAAAUGGGCAAAACCCAA
This 116-nucleotide ribosomal RNA is filed under the name Oncorhynchus keta (chum salmon). RNAcentral's name for it is "partial 12S ribosomal RNA". Lineage: Eukaryota; Metazoa; Chordata; Actinopteri; Salmoniformes; Salmonidae. The record is from RNAcentral.